UGGGGAAUAUUGCACAAUGGGCGAAAGCCUGAUGCAGCAACGCCGCGUGAGUGAUGAAGGUCUUCGGAUUGUAAAGCUCUGUCUUUUGGGACGAUAAUGACGGUACCAAAGGAGGAAGCCACGGCUAACUACGUGCCAGCAGCCGCGGUAAUACGUAGAUGGCGAGCGUUGUCCGGAUUUACUGGGCGUAAAGGGUGCGUAGGCGGAUGUUUAAGUGAGAUGUGAAAUACCCGGGCUUAACUUGGGUGCUGCAUUUCAAACUGGAUAUCUAGAGUGCAGGAGAGGAGAAUGGAAUUCCUAGUGUAGCGGUGAAAUGCGUAGAGAUUAGGAAGAACACCAGUGGCGAAGGCGAUUCUCUGGACUGUAACUGACGCUGAGGCACGAAAGCGUGGGUAGCAAACAGGAUUAGAUACCCUGGUAGUCCACGCCGUAAACGAUGAGUACUAGGUGUAGGAGGUAUCGACCCCUUCUGUGCCGCAGUAAACACAUUAAGUACUCCGCCUGGAAGUACGAUCGCAAGAUUAAAACUCUAAAGUGAAUUGACGGGGUC
This 550-nucleotide ribosomal RNA is filed under the name uncultured bacterium. Its description in RNAcentral is "partial 16S ribosomal RNA". It matches the Rfam family "Bacterial small subunit ribosomal RNA", at positions 355 to 920 of the family's 1533-position model. The record is from RNAcentral.